CCAACGGGUGGCUGCAGUGGGGAAUAUUGGACAAUGGGGGCAACCCUGAUCCAGCCAUGCCGCGUGUGUGAAGAAGGCCCUCGGGUUGUAAAGCACUUUCAGUGAGGAAGAACGCCUGGUGGUUAAUACCCAUCAGGAAAGACAUCACUCACAGAAGAAGCACCGGCUAACUCCGUGCCAGCAGCCGCGGUAAUACGGAGGGUGCGAGCGUUAAUCGGAAUUACUGGGCGUAAAGCGCGCGUAGGUGGCUUGAUAAGCCGGUUGUGAAAGCCCCGGGCUCAACCUGGGAACGGCAUCCGGAACUGUCAAGCUAGAGGGCAGGAGAGGAAGGUAGAAUUCCCGGUGUAGCGGUGAAAUGCGUAGAGAUCGGGAGGAAUACCAGUGGCGAAGGCGGCCUUCUGGACUGACACUGACACUGAGGUGCGAAAGCGUGGGUAGCAAACAGGAUUAGAUACCCUGGUAGUC
This 465-nucleotide ribosomal RNA is filed under the name Vreelandella stevensii. RNAcentral's name for it is "partial 16S ribosomal RNA". It matches the Rfam family "Bacterial small subunit ribosomal RNA", at positions 338 to 795 of the family's 1533-position model. The record is from RNAcentral. Lineage: Bacteria; Pseudomonadati; Pseudomonadota; Gammaproteobacteria; Oceanospirillales; Halomonadaceae.